RNAcentral lists this ribosomal RNA (402 nucleotides) under uncultured fungus. Its description in RNAcentral is "partial small subunit ribosomal RNA". It matches the Rfam family "Eukaryotic small subunit ribosomal RNA", at positions 30 to 432 of the family's 1831-position model. Lineage: Eukaryota; Fungi. The record is from RNAcentral.
GCUUGUCUCAAAGAUUAAGCCAUGCAUGUCUAAGUACAAGCCUCAGUAAGGUGAAACCGCGAAUGGCUCAUUAAAUCACACCUAAUCUACUGGAAAGUUACUAGUUACUUGGAUAACUGAGGUAAUUCUUGAGCUAAUACAUGCGAAAAAUCUCGACUCACGGAGAGAUGCUUUUAUUAGAUUCAAACCAUCAGUCCUUCACGGGACUUUUGAUGGCGAGUCAUAAUAACUGAGCGAAUCGAAUGACCUUGUGUCGUCGAUGCUUCAUUCAAAUUUCUGCCCUAUCAGCUUUCGAUGGUAGGAUCUUGGCCUACCAUGGCUAUAACGGGUAACGGGGAAUUAGGGUUCGGUUCCGGAGAGGGAGCUUGAGAAAUGGCUACCACAUCUAAGGAAGGCAGCAGG